GUGGGGAAUAUUGGACAAUGGGGGGAACCCUGAUCCAGCCAUGCCGCGUGUGUGAAGAAGGCCUUUUGGUUGUAAAGCACUUUAAGCGAGGAGGAGGCUACCGAGAUUAAUACUCUUGGAUAGUGGACGUUACUCGCAGAAUAAGCACCGGCUAACUCUGUGCCAGCAGCCGCGGUAAUACAGAGGGUGCAAGCGUUAAUCGGAUUUACUGGGCGUAAAGCGCGCGUAGGGGGCCAAUUAAGUCAAAUGUGAAAUCCCCGAGCUUAACUUGGGAAUUGCAUUCGAUACUGGUUGGCUAGAGUAUGGGAGAGGAUGGUAGAAUUCCAGGUGUAGCGGUGAAAUGCGUAGAGAUCUGGAGGAAUACCGAUGGCGAAGGCAGCCAUCUGGCCUAAUACUGACACUGAGGUGCGAAAGCAUGGGGAGCAAACAGGAUUAGAAACCCCAGUAGUCC
This 451-nucleotide ribosomal RNA is filed under the name uncultured bacterium. Its description in RNAcentral is "partial 16S ribosomal RNA". It matches the Rfam family "Bacterial small subunit ribosomal RNA", at positions 354 to 796 of the family's 1533-position model. The record is from RNAcentral.